This 252-nucleotide ribosomal RNA is filed under the name uncultured bacterium. Its description in RNAcentral is "partial 16S ribosomal RNA". It matches the Rfam family "Bacterial small subunit ribosomal RNA", at positions 524 to 775 of the family's 1533-position model. The record is from RNAcentral.
UACGAAGGGGGCUAGCGUUGUUCGGAAUUACUGGGCGUAAAGCGCACGUAGGCGGAUAUUUAAGUCAGGGGUGAAAUCCCAGAGCUCAACUCUGGAACUGCCUUUGAUACUGGGUAUCUUGAGUAUGGAAGAGGUGAGUGGAAUUCCGAGUGUAGAGGUGAAAUUCGUAGAUAUUCGGAGGAACACCAGUGGCGAAGGCGGCUCACUGGUCCAUUACUGACGCUGAGGUGCGAAAGCGUGGGGAGCAAACAG